RNAcentral lists this long non-coding RNA (545 nucleotides) under Olea europaea (common olive). Its description in RNAcentral is "long non-coding RNA (OEUR_LNC005773)". The record is from RNAcentral. Lineage: Eukaryota; Viridiplantae; Streptophyta; Magnoliopsida; Lamiales; Oleaceae.
GCGUCUGAAAAUAACCAUGCGGUCGCAUGGUUCAAUUCCAUGCGGCCGCAUAGAAUUGAAGUCUGGCCCCCUUCAACUCUUGGCCUAGGUCUGUGCGACCGCAGGCCAUUUGAGCUGUGCGGUCGCACAGCUUUGGCUCUCUACUCCGUCUUCAUCCGCCUUUAACACGUUGAUCCAAGUCUAUUGGGCCUUCGACCCCAACUUGAAACUUGUUCCAUUUUGUGUCCCGAACAUGAUUUUAUCAACGGUUGUCUUCACGAGCAAUCUCAUUGCCUCUUUUACUCGCUUCGUCCUCGUUCGAGUCAUCGGACCACCCUCGACUAUCAACGGAUCUUUCUUCGGGCUUGACGUUGGACUUGACCUUGAUGCUUGCGGCUCUUGGACCACAUCAUCCCCUCCCUCUUCGAAAGGAUUCAUCCUCGAAUCUGUAUCUGUAUCAAAGAGAGAAAGAUCAGAUACAUUAAAAGUUGCUGAAAUGUUAUAUUCAUCUGGAAGAUCUAAUUUGUAUGCGUUGUCAUUGACCUUCUCAAGCACUUGAAACGGUC